GGGCGGGGAAGGAAACGUGAUGAUUGCGCAAGCGCAGAAAAUGGGCCCUCUUGGCCGUCGGGACUUGUACUGUUGGUGACUCCGUCUCCUUAGACGGUGGAGCCUGCGUGACCCAGAAAGGCCAUGGUGAGCUCCUUAGAGGGAAGUAUAGUACAUAUUUCCUCCAUGUCUCCAGUACCCAACACAGUGCCUGACGUUGAGAGGGCUCUUAAUAAGUGUUUGUGAAAGACUGGUAGAGCAAUGCCCUAUGAAACAAGAAGCUGGAUAACACUGCUUAGGACUCAGAGGAGAGAGGAGUGUGGUCUACACUGCACAUCUCUGCCAAGCCUGGCACGGGAUUUGAAGUUCCACACCACUGAGCCAAACACAUCCAGACCCUCUUCCAACCCGGGGAUCUGGUGGUAAGCAAAAUACUAUUCCAGCAAGUGAUGCCCCCAGUCUCCUAAGGAUAUAAGCAAAAGGAUAAAGCCUCGCCAUGAGCACAGCUGUGUGCUGAGUCCCAGGAGCCCUUCCAGAGAACCUUCAAACAUGAGAAACAGGAAGUUGUGUUUGGCUGCGGACAAACUCUCUCAGUGCCCCUGGGACUUACAAGAUGUUUGGAAUGAGGAACGAUCUGGUUUCUGAGUCCCUGGGCUGCAGCUGUUGAAUUUCCAGACACAAACAAGUAUGCGUUCUGAGAGCCUCGCCGAGCCCACACAACCGGGAGAGCCAAGCUGGAUUCCAUUCUGCUUUGCACAUCAGCAGCUCUGCUGCCAGCUGAACUCCAGGGCAAAAGCUGUGCCUGGUAAUGAUGCAGGCAGCAGGGAUGGCACAGCUGGCCUGGCUUAGGCCGUUAAGGGGGACACGCUUGGCCUUAUUUGGGGGAGAGCGAGAAAUGGAAGGCGAUGAAGAGUUGCGGAAGCAUACAUCAGCCUCCACAAAACUGGUGCACAGCAGGGAAACAAUCUGGUUUUGCUAGUCAUCAACAA
Long non-coding RNA from Homo sapiens (human), 968 nucleotides. RefSeq annotates it as ZBTB44 divergent transcript. The record is from RefSeq and is marked validated. Lineage: Eukaryota; Metazoa; Chordata; Mammalia; Primates; Hominidae. The transcript is spliced from 7 exons.